Pelobates cultripes (western spadefoot toad) is the source of this 223-nucleotide non-coding RNA. The record is from the annotation of a GenBank genome assembly. NCBI's taxonomy places the organism in Eukaryota, Metazoa, Chordata, Amphibia, Anura, Pelobatidae.
CUACCCCUAGGAGUUGUGAUUAUGACUAGGUCAGGAUUACUAGUUAAUCCAGCACGUAGAACUGUAUCACACCUAGGAUCAAAGGUAACGUCUUACCGUGCCUUAGAAUGGCCGGACUUAACGUACCAGUCAGAAUACUUUCCGAGGUUGGGGACACAGAAUGAGACACAACGAUGAGGGAAAGCCAAAAGUCAGGGAUACCAGAAUACAGGGAAGUCAAAAC